GGCAAGAGGAAGAAUGCAUCAGCGUUGGGCAGAAAAGGGAACUCGAAAACCUCACAGCAUUGUUCCAGGGUCCAAUUUCCCUUUCCAGCAGAUGGAUGUAAGAAGCGAGUUAGUCAAUGAACUACAAAAUGGUUCGUGAUGCUGUAAGCAACUCAAUAAUUUAGUCAGCCAUUCUGGACCUGAGAAGCGACCAAUUACGCACACGAUUAGAGCAGGUCUCACAUCGAUACAUCCCCAGAAUACGACAGCGGGACCGAAAAGCACGAGAUAAUUAACUGUCAAUCCGUUUAUCAAGGAUAUGCUGAAUGCGCUGAAGCACACAAGGAUUGUGAUCGGUAUUUCAAUUGGUCGUUCUGCGAUUGAUGGACUGUUUGGUGGACCCUUUUGGUCCCCCGAAGGGCCGAGCUUAACAACGAGAAUUGGUACGUGCGUAUCUUCGACGGGUUAUUUUGACGAAACGCUUUUGCGGAAACUGGUCUACCGCCAAAAAGGUCUCCAGGCUCUUCCGCUGAUUGAGGGUCUGACGGGGCUCAAACCAAGUAAUACGAGCAUACCUAGUGCUGGAAUAGUUGGCGCUUUUAGGUGGAGAACAAGAGAGUCUCGG
This 604-nucleotide small RNA is filed under the name Histoplasma capsulatum. RNAcentral describes it as "hypothetical RNA". Lineage: Eukaryota; Fungi; Ascomycota; Eurotiomycetes; Onygenales; Ajellomycetaceae. The record is from RNAcentral. RNAcentral also lists the same sequence under 1 other name.